Maniola jurtina (meadow brown) is the source of this 324-nucleotide long non-coding RNA. RefSeq lists it as uncharacterized. The transcript has 2 exons. The record is from RefSeq and is a predicted model, not a curated record. NCBI's taxonomy places the organism in Eukaryota, Metazoa, Arthropoda, Insecta, Lepidoptera, Nymphalidae.
CUUCAAACGAGAAUGUACUCCCUGGCCACAGCUCACACGACUCCGAGAACCAGUUCUUCUUUAAUGUAUCCAUAAUUUAUCUGUAAAAGAUAGCUAUUAAUUUUUAUCUCAAAUUACUCUUGCGCACUGAUUGAAGAUUCGAGCGGGAUUCGAGACACUCGGUCAAUAUGUCCAAUGUUAUUGUGCCUGGCCCCAACUCCCAAUUACUUGAAGAACUAAUUAAACAAUUUACAGUGGCAGAUAAAACUAGUAAUUAUUAAUUAAACUAUAAUAUUCAGCGAACACAGUGCACACUGCACACUAAAUGCGAAGAACACGAAUUUC